Molecule: non-coding RNA, 228 nt
Organism: Caenorhabditis elegans
Lineage: Eukaryota; Metazoa; Nematoda; Chromadorea; Rhabditida; Rhabditidae
Source: Ensembl
AUAUUGAAAAAAUUCGUGAAUAAGAGAGGCCCUCCACUAUGAACUUUACCACGAAUUCAUAGAACAAUUGAGGAGUGGCGUGAAUUUAUUUCAUCUUUUUCUCAUCGUUUUCGGGUGGGGCGAUUGAGGUUAAAGUCGAACUGUUUGCUUUUUUAUUACAUACAAAAUGAAAGUAAUGAGUCAAAGUGUCAAGGCUGCGUCAAGAUUUAUUGCUUUUUUCAGAUACAU